RNAcentral lists this ribosomal RNA (251 nucleotides) under uncultured prokaryote. RNAcentral's name for it is "partial 16S rRNA". It matches the Rfam family "Bacterial small subunit ribosomal RNA", at positions 525 to 775 of the family's 1533-position model. The record is from RNAcentral.
ACGUAGGAGGCGAGCGUUGUCCGGAAUUACUGGGUAUAAAGGGUCCGCAGGCGGAUUGAUAAGUGGAUGGUGAAAUCCAUCAGCUUAACUGUAGUGAUGCUGUCGAUACUGUUGAUCUUGAAUACAGGAGAGGAUAACGGAAUUCCAGGUGUAGCGGUGAAAUGCGUAGAUAUCAGGAGGAACACCGGUGGCGAAGGCUGUUUCCUGGCCUGUAAUUGACGCUCAGGGACGAAAGCGUGGGGAUCAAACAG